This 466-nucleotide ribosomal RNA is filed under the name uncultured Acidobacteriota bacterium. Its description in RNAcentral is "bacterial SSU rRNA". It matches the Rfam family "Bacterial small subunit ribosomal RNA", at positions 338 to 795 of the family's 1533-position model. Lineage: Bacteria; Pseudomonadati; Acidobacteriota. The record is from RNAcentral.
CCUACGGGUGGCUGCAGUGGGGAAUUUUUCGCAAUGGGCGAAAGCCUGACGACGCAACGCCGCGUGGGGGAUGAAGGUCUUCGGAUUGUAAACCCCUGUCGUGUGGGAAGAACGACCUCGUGGUGAACAGCCAUGGGGUUUGACGGUACCACGUGAGGAAGCCCCGGCUAACUCUGUGCCAGCAGCCGCGGUAAUACAGAGGGGGCAAGCGUUGUUCGGAAUUACUGGGCGUAAAGGGCGCGUAGGCGGCCUACUAAGUCAUACGUGAAAUCCCACGGCUCAACCGUGGAACUGCGUCUGAGACUGGAAGGCUUGAAUUCGGGAGAGGGAUGCGGAAUUCCAGGUGUAGCGGUGAAAUGCGUAGAUAUCUGGAGGAACACCGGUGGCGAAGGCGGCAUCCUGGACCGACAUUGACGCUGAGGCGCGAAAGCCAGGGGAGCAAACGGGAUUAGAUACCCCAGUAGUC